RNAcentral lists this ribosomal RNA (749 nucleotides) under uncultured bacterium. Its description in RNAcentral is "bacterial SSU rRNA". It matches the Rfam family "Bacterial small subunit ribosomal RNA", at positions 51 to 787 of the family's 1533-position model. The record is from RNAcentral.
ACACAUGCAAGUCGAGGGGCAGCAUUUUAGUUUGCUUGCAAACUAAAGAUGGCGACCGGCGCACGGGUGAGUAACACGUAUCCAACCUGCCGAUAACUCGGGGAUAGCCUUUCGAAAGAAAGAUUAAUAUCCGAUAGUAUAUUAAAACCGCAUGGUUUUACUAUUAAAGAAUUUCGGUUAUCGAUGGGGAUGCGUUCCAUUAGUUUGUUGGCGGGGUAACGGCCCACCAAGACUACGAUGGAUAGGGGUUCUGAGAGGAAGGUCCCCCACAUUGGAACUGAGACACGGUCCAAACUCCUACGGGAGGCAGCAGUGAGGAAUAUUGGUCAAUGGACGAGAGUCUGAACCAGCCAAGUAGCGUGAAGGAUGACUGCCCUAUGGGUUGUAAACUUCUUUUAUAUGGGAAUAAAGUAUUCCACGUGUGGGAUUUUGUAUGUACCAUAUGAAUAAGGAUCGGCUAACUCCGUGCCAGCAGCCGCGGUAAUACGGAGGAUCCGAGCGUUAUCCGGAUUUAUUGGGUUUAAAGGGAGCGUAGGUGGAUUGUUAAGUCAGUUGUGAAAGUUUGCGGCUCAACCGUAAAAUUGCAGUUGAAACUGGCAGUCUUGAGUACAGUAGAGGUGGGCGGAAUUCGUGGUGUAGCGGUGAAAUGCUUAGAUAUCACGAAGAACUCCGAUUGCGAAGGCAGCUCACUAGACUGCAACUGACACUGAUGCUCGAAAGUGUGGGUAUCAAACAAGGAUUAGAUACCC